Molecule: ribosomal RNA, 489 nt
Filed under: uncultured bacterium
Lineage: Bacteria
Description: partial 16S ribosomal RNA
Rfam family: Bacterial small subunit ribosomal RNA
Source: RNAcentral
AUGGACGCUAGCUACAGGCUUAACCCCUGCAAGUCGCGGGGCAGCAUGGGGGUUGCUUGGAAUCCCCGAUGGCGACCGGCGCACGGGUGAGUAACGCGUAUCCAACCUGCCCUUCACCACGGGAUAACCCGGCGAAAGUCGGACUAAUACCGUAUGUUGUGCAUUGACGGCAUCCGAUUUGGACGAAAGGUUUGGCGGUGAAGGAUGGGGAUGCGUCCGAUUAGCUGGACGGCGGGGUGACGGCCCACCGUGGCGACGAUCGGUAGGGGUUCUGAGAGGAAGGUCCCCCACACUGGAACUGAGACACGGUCCAGACUCCUACGGGAGGCAGCAGUGAGGAAUAUUGGUCAAUGGGCGUAAGCCUGAACCAGCCAAGUAGCGUGCAGGAGGACGGCCCUAUGGGUUGUAAACUGCUUUUAUGCGGGGAUAAAGUGGCCCACGUGUGGGUUUUUGCAGGUACCGCAUGAAUAAGGACCGGCUAAUUCCGUG